AGUGCUUAAGUGAUCUGCUGCUUGUAAUCCAGGAUUUCAGUAUCCUAAUAGACCUGCCAGAACAAAAUGAACUUCAAACACAGUAAGAGAGAUCCUUGCACAUGUAACAUGUCAGUCCAUAUGCUUCAUCCCACCAGUGACAAUUAUUGGACCUUAGUCUCAUUCCUAACUUAAUUAUGAUAUUUAGCGCAACGCCCAGGUACAUACCAACUUCCUCAUUCUAAUUUUUAUUUUCUCUACUACCCUUAUUCAAUCAUUUUAAAUUUUCUAACUUGUUUAUUUGUUGAAAGUUGGUAGGGAAAAAAAAAAGCAGUUUCAAGACAUGCUUGAGCACUUCAAGUUGAAGACUGUGCAUUUGUGGUUCUUCUGCCUGCAAUAGGUAAUAUUAAGUUCACAAUAAUAAUCAUACUUGAAAGUAUUUGGAAGAGCAAGAUUUUCUUUAACUAGAUAAAAAACUAGUCAUAGUCAUAGAAGUAUUUUGUCCCUUUCUGCAUUUUAAGGCUUAGAGGCAUUUAUUUAAGACACUUUGAUUGAGUAAUCUAAGAAUUUAUUUACUGACUAAAUAAGAAAAGCAGAUUGAUUUCCAAAA
Coffea arabica (coffee) is the source of this 589-nucleotide non-coding RNA. The record is from RefSeq and is a predicted model, not a curated record. NCBI's taxonomy places the organism in Eukaryota, Viridiplantae, Streptophyta, Magnoliopsida, Gentianales, Rubiaceae.